RNAcentral lists this ribosomal RNA (970 nucleotides) under Vibrio parahaemolyticus. RNAcentral describes it as "partial 23S ribosomal RNA". It matches the Rfam family "Bacterial large subunit ribosomal RNA", at positions 607 to 1582 of the family's 2925-position model. The record is from RNAcentral. Lineage: Bacteria; Pseudomonadati; Pseudomonadota; Gammaproteobacteria; Vibrionales; Vibrionaceae.
UUUGUAUAAUGGGUCAGCGACUUAUAUUCAGUGGCAAGGUUAACCAUCUAGGGGAGCCGUAGGGAAACCGAGUCUUAACUGGGCGUUCAGUCUCUGGAUAUAGACCCGAAACCAGGUGAUCUAGCCAUGGGCAGGUUGAAGGUUGAGUAACAUCAACUGGAGGACCGAACCGACUAAUGUUGAAAAAUUAGCGGAUGACUUGUGGCUAGGGGUGAAAGGCCAAUCAAACCUGGAGAUAGCUGGUUCUCCCCGAAAGCUAUUUAGGUAGCGCCUCGGACGAAUACUACUGGGGGUAGAGCACUGUUAAGGCUAGGGGGUCAUCCCGACUUACCAACCCUUUGCAAACUCCGAAUACCAGUAAGUACUAUCCGGGAGACACACGGCGGGUGCUAACGUCCGUCGUGGAGAGGGAAACAACCCAGACCGCCAGCUAAGGUCCCAAAUUACUACUAAGUGGGAAACGAUGUGGGAAGGCUCAGACAGCCAGGAUGUUGGCUUAGAAGCAGCCAUCAUUUAAAGAAAGCGUAAUAGCUCACUGGUCGAGUCGGCCUGCGCGGAAGAUGUAACGGGGCUAAGUAGUAAACCGAAGCUGCGGCAAUAUACUUUUGUAUAUUGGGUAGGGGAGCGUUCUGUAAGCGGUUGAAGGUGUGUGGUAACGCAUGCUGGACGUAUCAGAAGUGCGAAUGCUGACAUGAGUAACGAUAAAGGGGGUGAAAAACCUCCUCGCCGGAAGACCAAGGGUUCCUGUCCAACGUUAAUCGGGGCAGGGUAAGUCGACCCCUAAGGCGAGGCCGAAAGGCGUAGUCGAUGGGAAACGGGUUAAUAUUCCCGUACUUCUUACAAUUGCGAUGGGGGGACGGAGAAGGCUAGGUGGGCCUGGCGACGGUUGUCCAGGUUCAAGUGCGUAGGCUUAAGAGUUAGGUAAAUCCGGCUCUUUCUAAGGCUGAGACACGACGUCGAGCAUCUACGG